AUCCAGCCAUGCCGCGUGUGUGAAGAAGGCCUUUUGGUUGUAAAGCACUUUAAGCGAGGAGGAGGCAGACUCUAGAUUAAUACUCCUAGGAAUCGUGGACGUUACUCGCAGAAUAAGCACCGGCUAACUCUGUGCCAGCAGCCGCGGUAAUACAGAGGGUGCAAGCGUUAAUCGGAUUUACUGGGCGUAAAGCGCGCGUAGGUGGCCAAUUAAGUCAAAUGUGAAAUCCCCGAGCUUAACUAGGGAAUUGCAUUCGAUACUGGUUGGCUAGAGUAUGGGAGAGGAUGGUAGAAUUCCAGGUGUAGCGGUGAAAUGCGUAGAGAUCUGGAGGAAUACCGAUGGCGAAGGCAGCCAUCUGGCCUAAUACUGACACUGAGGUGCGAAAGCAUGGGGAGCAAACAGGAUUAGAUACCCUGGUAGUCCAUGCCGUAAACGAUGUCUACUAGCCGUUGGGGCCUUUGAGGCUUUAGUGGCGCAGCUAACGCGAUAAGUAGACCGCCUGGGGAGUACNGUCGCAAGACUANNACUCAAAUGANUUGACNGGGGCCCGCACAAGCGGUGGAGCAUGUGGU
This 572-nucleotide ribosomal RNA is filed under the name bacterium E-2-0-6C. Its description in RNAcentral is "bacterial SSU rRNA". It matches the Rfam family "Bacterial small subunit ribosomal RNA", at positions 386 to 945 of the family's 1533-position model. The record is from RNAcentral.